This 207-nucleotide ribosomal RNA is filed under the name uncultured bacterium. RNAcentral describes it as "partial 16S ribosomal RNA". It matches the Rfam family "Bacterial small subunit ribosomal RNA", at positions 568 to 774 of the family's 1533-position model. The record is from RNAcentral.
CUCGUAGGUGGCCAACUAAGUCAGACGUGAAAUCCCCAGACUCAACCUGGGAACUGCGUCUGAUACUGGAUGGCUUGAAUUCGGGAGAGGGAUGCAGAAUUCCAGGUGUAGCGGUGAAAUGCGUAGAUAUCUGGAGGAAUACCGGUGGCGAAGGCGGCAUCCUGGACCGAGAUUGACACUGAUGAGCGAAAGCUAGGGGAGCAAACG